Molecule: transfer RNA, 74 nt
Filed under: Danio rerio (zebrafish)
Lineage: Eukaryota; Metazoa; Chordata; Actinopteri; Cypriniformes; Danionidae
Description: tRNA-Ile (AAT) (tRNA-Ile-AAT-34-1, tRNA-Ile-AAT-34-2)
Rfam family: tRNA
About the family: Transfer RNA (tRNA) molecules are approximately 80 nucleotides in length.
Source: Rfam by way of RNAcentral
GGCCGGUUAGCUCAGCUAGUUAGAGCGUGGUGCUAAUAACGCCAAGGUCGCGGGUUCGAUCCCCGUACUGGCCA